GGGGCCGUAGCUCAAUUGGGAGAGCACUGCCUUUGCAAGGCAGGGGUUGGCGGUUCGAGCCCGCUCGGCUCCA
RNAcentral lists this transfer RNA (73 nucleotides) under Planctomycetota bacterium. RNAcentral describes it as "tRNA-Ala". It matches the Rfam family "tRNA". From Rfam's summary of the family: Transfer RNA (tRNA) molecules are approximately 80 nucleotides in length. Lineage: Bacteria; Pseudomonadati; Planctomycetota. The record is from RNAcentral. RNAcentral also lists the same sequence under 1 other name.